RNAcentral lists this ribosomal RNA (313 nucleotides) under Salmonella enterica. Its description in RNAcentral is "partial 23S ribosomal RNA". It matches the Rfam family "Bacterial large subunit ribosomal RNA", at positions 1 to 350 of the family's 2925-position model. Lineage: Bacteria; Pseudomonadati; Pseudomonadota; Gammaproteobacteria; Enterobacterales; Enterobacteriaceae. RNAcentral also lists the same sequence under 1 other name. The record is from RNAcentral.
GGUUAAGCGACUAAGCGUACACGGUGGAUGCCCUGGCAGUCAGAGGCGAUGAAGGGCGUGCUAAUCUGCGAUAAGCGCCGGUAAGGUGAUAUGAACCGUUAUAACCGGCGAUACCCGAAUGGGGAAACCCAGUGUGACUCGUCACACUAUCAUUAACUGAAUCCAUAGGUUAAUGAGGCGAACCGGGGGAACUGAAACAUCUAAGUACCCCGAGGAAAAGAAAUCAACCGAGAUUCCCCCAGUAGCGGCGAGCGAACGGGGAGGAGCCCAGAGCCUGAAUCAGCAUGUGUGUUAGUGGAAGCGUCUGGAAAGG